GGUGGUGUUCCUGAGUUGUGUGGCGUGAGAGAUGCUUUUUUUUUUUGAGAAUGUGAGAAAGGCCAAUUAGAUCCGGGACGUGCAUGAUGAUGUCAAGGAAAGGCCCAUGAUCAAUAUUCAAUCGCCCUGCAGCCUUCUGGUUCCUUCCGGCCUUUUCCCCUUGCUGCAGGACACAAGGGCGAAAAGGAGGCGGCUCGGUUUGCCGGCGGCGAUUCGGCCGCUCCCUUCCGUCUCCAGCGGCCUGGAAGGCGCCGGAGAUGGAGGAGGAACGGCGAAUCGACGUGCGGCUGUGAAUAGACUAGGUAGUUUUGUAUCUAGUUCUCCGUUUUCCUCACUGUCGAUGGCGACGGCGGUGGAUCGAAUAAGGUCGCCGGGUGCUCCUUUGCUCGCGGCGAUGGUCUUGCUCCUCUAAGGUGCCUUUGCUGUUGGUGGCAGCGUCGUUGAAGCCACCUCUAUGCAAGGGUUACGGCGGAGGGUAUGCUUUCUCCUGCCCUUUUCUGGUGGUGGUGGCGCCGUCGCCACUAUUCCCGGGGUUGGUCGUGGGAGUCUUUUGUUCCUCCUUGGCGGCCUCUCUGUUGAAGGCAAUACUCUCGGCGUCUUCUCCGGCGAGCCACGGGUGAGAUUUCUUCUUCCUUUGAGCGCGGCAAGAGAUGGCCGAUGCCCUUUCAAAGGAAUCAGAUGCGUCGCGGCGGAUGGUUGGCGGCGUUGGCUCUUGCGGCAUGUCCAAGGUUGGAAGUCUCUCGUCCUACUCGGGGGAAGAUUUGGCUCCGAUUCCGGCGUUUUCCAUCAGCGGCGGUCAUCGGAGAGGAAGAAGAAGCUGGGGACCUGUUUCGGGGGCUUCGAUGUAAUAUUUAGUUUUGUCAAGGUCCUUUCUGUACAACUGGGGGAUGUACUGUACUUCACUUUAAUAUAAUCUACCCCUUUCGUAAAAAAAAGCAUUCAAUCGCCCUA
Molecule: long non-coding RNA, 951 nt
Organism: Panicum virgatum (switchgrass)
Lineage: Eukaryota; Viridiplantae; Streptophyta; Magnoliopsida; Poales; Poaceae
Exons: 2
Source: RefSeq, a predicted model, not a curated record